AGUGAACGCUGGCGGUAGGCCUAACACAUGCAAGUCGAACGGCAGCACAGUAAGAGCUUGCUCUUACGGGUGGCGAGUGGCGGACGGGUGCGGAAUACAUCGGAAUCUACUUUUUCGUGGGGGAUAACGUAGGGAAACUUACGCUAAUACCGCAUACGACCUACGGGUGAAAGCAGGGGAUCUUCGGACCUUGCGCGAUUGAAUGAGCCGAUGUCGGAUUAGCUAGUUGGCGGGGUAAAGGCCCACCAAGGCGACGAUCCGUAGCUGGUCUGAGAGGAUGAUCAGCCACACUGGAACUGAGACACGGUCCAGACUCCCACGGGAGGCAGCAGUGGGGAAUAUUGGACAAUGGGCGCAAGCCUGAUCCAGCCAUACCGCGUGGGUGAAGAAGGCCUUCGGGUUGUAAAGCCCUUUUGUUGGGAAAGAAAAGCAGCAGGUUAAUACCCCGCUGUUCUGACGGUACCCAAAGAAUAAGCACCGGCUAACUUCGUG
Molecule: ribosomal RNA, 492 nt
Filed under: uncultured bacterium
Lineage: Bacteria
Description: partial 16S ribosomal RNA
Rfam family: Bacterial small subunit ribosomal RNA
Source: RNAcentral